This is a long non-coding RNA of Limulus polyphemus (Atlantic horseshoe crab), 406 nucleotides long. RefSeq lists it as uncharacterized. The record is from RefSeq and is a predicted model, not a curated record. Lineage: Eukaryota; Metazoa; Arthropoda; Merostomata; Xiphosura; Limulidae. The transcript is spliced from 2 exons.
UACACAUUUUGUUCCGUAAAAAAUGGCGAUUAUUAUGUUUUUUCCUGAGUAAGUGGGGCUAUUAGGCCUACUCCCUUCUGUCAUUACAGUUUUUGUAGAAAUCUUGCACAGUUACUUUUCGUAUAUAGGAAUAUUGUCUGUAAGGAUAAAUGAGAGUCAGUAUACCACAUCGUACAGCACGUGGUCACUUUUAGCACUCUUGGAUGUUGAAGGUCGUGUUCACACUAGCAGAGCAGAGCUUUCUGCCAAGGUUACUAGCCAAGGACGACACAGUUCCCUGCCUUAGCACUUGUGGCUCCAUCUACGCAAAUGCUCAACAGUCGGGUGGGACAUGGAAAAGUAUCACCAGUUGGAAUGUGCAGUUUAUGAAGUAGCUGGUCAUAAAUAAAGAGUUCACUAACAGUGA